GAUGAACGCUAGCGGCAGGCUUAACACAUGCAAGUCGAGGGGCAGCGUAGAUUGCUUGCAAUCUGACGGCGACCGGCGAACGGGUGCGUAACGCGUAUAGAAUCUGCCUUGUACAGGAGGAUAGCCUUUAGAAAUGAAGAUUAAUACUCCAUAAUGCUGAGAGAUGGCAUCAUUUUUUAGUUAAAGAUUUAUCGGUACAAGAUGACUAUGCGUCCUAUUAGCUAGAUGGUAAGGUAACGGCUUACCAUGGCAACGAUAGGUAGGGGGUCUGAGAGGAUUAUCCCCCACACUGGUACUGAGACACGGACCAGACUCCUACGGGAGGCAGCAGUGAGGAAUAUUGGUCAAUGGGCGCAAGCCUGAACCAGCCAUGCCGCGUGCAGGAUGACUGCCCUAUGGGUUGUAAACUGCUUUUAUACAGGAAGAAACAGUCCCUCGUGAGGGGCCUUGACGGUACUGUAAGAAUAAGCACCGGCUAACUCCG
Molecule: ribosomal RNA, 484 nt
Filed under: uncultured Flexibacter sp.
Lineage: Bacteria; Pseudomonadati; Bacteroidota; Cytophagia; Cytophagales; Flexibacteraceae
Description: bacterial SSU rRNA
Rfam family: Bacterial small subunit ribosomal RNA
Source: RNAcentral